CCUACGGGCGGCAGCAGUGGGGAAUAUUGCACAAUGGGGGAAACCCUGAUGCAGCGACGCCGCGUGAGGGAAGACGUAUUUCGGUAUGUAAAGCUCUAUCAGCAGGGAAGAAAAUGACGGUACCCGACUAAGAAGCCCCGGCUAACUACGUGCCAGCAGCCGCGGUAAUACGUAGGGGGCAAGCGUUAUCCGGAUUUGCUGGGUGUAAAGGGAGCGUAGACGGCCGCAUGAGUCUGGAGUGAAAUGCCGGGGCUUAACCCCGGAACUGCUGUGGAAACUGUGCAGCUAGAGAGUAGGAGAGGUAAGUGGAAUUCCUAGUGUAGCGGUGAAAUGCGUAGAUAUUAGGAGGAACACCAGUGGCGAAGGCAGCUUACUGGACUGUAACUGACGUUGAGGCUCGAAAGCGUGGGGAGCAAACAGGAUUAGAUACCCUUGUAGUC
This 440-nucleotide ribosomal RNA is filed under the name uncultured bacterium. RNAcentral's name for it is "partial 16S ribosomal RNA". It matches the Rfam family "Bacterial small subunit ribosomal RNA", at positions 338 to 795 of the family's 1533-position model. The record is from RNAcentral.